This is a long non-coding RNA of Wyeomyia smithii (pitcher-plant mosquito), 239 nucleotides long. RefSeq lists it as uncharacterized. Lineage: Eukaryota; Metazoa; Arthropoda; Insecta; Diptera; Culicidae. The transcript has 2 exons. The record is from RefSeq and is a predicted model, not a curated record.
CUUGGGGUAAGUGCAUAGCAUCUACGAACAUGUCAUUGGCAUCCAUUGCGUGCGUCAAACAAUGACCGUGAUGUUUAACCUAGAAAAGCGCUAUUUCCUUGUUGGUAAAAAUGAUCGUCCUUAAGUGGUUAAACAGGUCAAAAAUGUUAAUACCCUGCUAUUAAGCAUUAUUGUGUUGCGAGUUUUUUGUUUAUCAAUUAACUUUUGUAGUGAGGAAUAAAAUUUUAAAAUGAUAUAAA